GCGGCUUGAUUUGAUUGUUGACGGGCUCUUUUCAACGUCUGGCUGACUGAUCGCUUCUGAAAUGAAAAAAUUAUACAUUUAAACUAAAAAUUGCAUUUUUUUAAUGAAAAAAAAACUCACCGAUGCAAUACG
This is a non-coding RNA of Caenorhabditis elegans, 132 nucleotides long. The record is from Ensembl. NCBI's taxonomy places the organism in Eukaryota, Metazoa, Nematoda, Chromadorea, Rhabditida, Rhabditidae.